Molecule: long non-coding RNA, 258 nt
Filed under: Hordeum vulgare
Lineage: Eukaryota; Viridiplantae; Streptophyta; Magnoliopsida; Poales; Poaceae
Description: long non-coding RNA (HVUL_LNC017231)
Source: RNAcentral
UUGCAGAGCCUAAGGCACUUACUCUUCCAAACUGGCCAGGGCUCAGAUGACCACAGAUGAUGUUCUUCGCCUGAGAAUCGAGUUGCUUGAAUUUCUUCACAUCAGCUGCAGUGACACUAGCAGAAAUGAUGGGGACACCAUUUUCCACAAUAUACCAGAGAUCAUUGUCUAUAGCUUGUAGAUGCAUUUGCAUUUUGUUCUUCCAGAAGGGAAAGUUCUUUCCCUCGUAGGUAGGACAUGCUGCAGUCACCUUAAACA